CCCUUAGAUGUUCUGGGCCGCACGCGCGCUACACUGACGAAGUCAGCGAGCAUGUCCUACGCCGACAGGUGCGGGGAAUCUUGUCAAACUUCGUCGUGAUGGGGAUUGAUUAUUGAAAUUCUUGAUCAUCAACGAGGAAUUCCUAGUAAGCGCAAGUCAGCAGCUUGCGUUGAUUACGUCCCUGCCCUUUGUACACACCUCCCGUCGCUACUACCGAUUGAAUGGUUUAGUGAGAUCUUCGGAUUGGCGCCACUGCGGCUCAGCAAUGGGCUCGGUGGAUGCCGAAAAGUUGAUCAAACUUGAUCAUUUAGAGGAAGUAAAAGUCGUAACA
Molecule: ribosomal RNA, 331 nt
Filed under: uncultured eukaryote
Lineage: Eukaryota
Description: partial 18S ribosomal RNA
Rfam family: Eukaryotic small subunit ribosomal RNA
Source: RNAcentral